This 2294-nucleotide unclassified non-coding RNA is filed under the name Drosophila yakuba. RNAcentral's name for it is "GE10889". Lineage: Eukaryota; Metazoa; Arthropoda; Insecta; Diptera; Drosophilidae. The record is from RNAcentral.
UCCGGCCGAACGCUGCAAGUCGCCUCAGUGCAUUUAUAAUUGGAUUUGCCAUAUUCCCAUAUUGUGCGCUUCAUAUUCCGUGUUUCCUAUUCCAUAUCGAUUGGAUACACCUCCUACGAGCUGCAAAAGCUAAUAGUCCAGAAUGGAGAGUGCCCUCCCGGUGGCCGAGUUCCAGCAGAUAAAGCUGCGUCCGGUGCCAAAGGUCAAGCGCCGAGCCCCCCAGCCGCCAGUGAGCCUUCGCCUGAAGCAUAAGAAUACUUCUGCCACCACAAAGACAACCACGCUCACCACCCCCGCCAAACUGUAUGGCAAGGAUCUGAGUGAGUACGACGAUGUGGACGUGGAGAGCCUGCUGGCCCAGCUCUCGCCCGAGGAGAUAACCAUACUGGCCAAAGAGGUGGAUCCCGAUGACAACUUCCUGCCGCCAGACCAGCGCAACAGCUAUGAGUGCACCAAGGAAGCCACCGGGCCCCUCAAUCGCAAGCAGCUGAUCGAGCACAUCAACAAGCAGGCCAUCGAGACACCGGAUCAGCCGGAAUUCGAGCCGUUCGUUCAGGGCAAGGUUCGCGGAAAGAAGUGGGUCCCUCCGCCAAGGGAUGCCCGCGACAUCGAGGCCGAGGAACAGAUCGCCAUCGACAUGGGCGAGGAGUACGAGCACGCCCUCAACGAUGCCACGCAGGAGGAGAUCAUUGAUUUGGCCGCCAUCCUGGGCUUCCACUCGAUGAUGAAUCAGGACCAGUACCACGCCUCCUUGCUCAACAAGGGUCAGCCCGUGGGCCUGGGCUGGGAUGGCAUCACGAAAUCCACUCAGCAGAAGCUCUUCCCCAUGGAUCCGCCCAAUAGCACAGACGUGGAGGAGUCCAUCAAGCGGGUCAAGGACGAUGACUCCAAGCUGAUUGACCUCAACUUGAACAACAUUAAGAACAUCUCGGACGAGAAGCUCGAGCAACUGUUUGCCGCACUGCCUCAGAACGAACAUCUGGAAGUCCUCUCGCUGACAAAUGUGGGCCUCACCGACAAGACAGCCCUCCUGUUAGCCGCGGCCAUUGAGAAGAGCAAAACCCUGAGAGUAUUAAAUGUCGAGACCAACUUCAUCAGUCCGCCCGUGAUUGUUAAGCUGGUGCAAGCCCUGCUCAAGUGCCACACCAUCGAGGAGUUCAGGGCCUCCAAUCAGCGGUCUGCGGUGCUGGGCAACAAGAUCGAGAUGGAAAUCACCGACCUGGUGGAGAAGAACUCGUCGCUGCUGCGCCUUGGCUUGCACCUGGAGUUCAACGACGCCCGCCACCGAGUGGCCGCUCACCUGCAGCGCAACAUCGACAGAAUCUUCCGCGUUCAGAAAAUAAAGCCCAAUCUACCCAAGUUGAUCCUGCCGGGCAACAUGGAGAUUGAGCGGGAUCUGGUCGCCUAUAACCGAUCGGCCACGCCUUCUCCGUCGCCAUCGCCGCAGCCUCCGGCGGAUUAUGAAGUGGAAGAGGAUCCGGAUAACAUGGUUAUCCGCGGUGGCGGCGAUGCCUUCGAUCCGGAGAUCGAUCCCGACAACAUGGUGGUGCCGGGCAGUCGGUCCGUGACACCGAACUACGACGAUGAGGGUGUCUAUCAAGCGCACACUAAGAAAAGAUCUUGAGUUGCGACUGCAGUUCAGAUUUUUCAAUAAUCUGCAUAGAAAGUCGACAAGAAUUCAAUAAGCAGACCAGAAACCAAGCAACUAAACCAUUUUCAAAGCGUUUUGUAAUCUAAACCCAAAGAACCGAAGAAAAACAAGCACAUAACAACGAAAGAACGUGUAUAAUAUAAUAUAUAUAUAUAACAAGAAGAAGGAAGCAGGAGCACAAGUUUAAGCUAAAGAUAAAGCGGCCAACGAGCUUGCCAAAAAAUCUAUAUCUAUAUACUCUAGAGACUUUAACUAAGCAAAGCAAACUGAAACCAAAGAAACGAAGCGAAAUAUCAAACUAAAUACAUAUACCACAUAUAUCGAUAAAGAUCGCAGAUCGAGCAGACUCGUGAUCCAUGGAUAUAGCAUAAUACCCAUGAGCCACGAGUUAUCUUUUAAGUCGAGGCCUCUUCUAAAACUCAGCAGAAACCGUUUAGGCGCCACGUGUAUAAUUUUCUCUAACGCUUAACACAGGAAUUAAACUGCGAUGUAUGAUCUAAGUGAGUUCCCAGAUCCGAGUCAAAGUACAGCGAUAGUAGCAGAAAUCCAAGAAAUAACAAACGUAGAUUUGAGACACUUUUAUGAUUCAGUAAGAGCCACCAACUAACAGCAGAAAAUAAAGCAGCACCACCGACAAGAGGAG